This 301-nucleotide ribosomal RNA is filed under the name uncultured bacterium. Its description in RNAcentral is "partial 16S ribosomal RNA". It matches the Rfam family "Bacterial small subunit ribosomal RNA", at positions 509 to 807 of the family's 1533-position model. The record is from RNAcentral.
CAGUAGCCGCGGUAAUACGUAGGUGGCAAGCGUUGUCCGGAAUUAUUGGGCGUAAAGGGCUCGCAGGCGGUUUCUUAAGUCUGAUGUGAAAGCCCCCGGCUCAACUGGGGAGGGUCAUUGGAAACUGGGAAACUUGAGUGCAGAAGAGGAGAGUGGAAUUCCACGUGUAGCGGUGAAAUGCGUAGAGAUGUGGAGGAACACCAGUGGCGAAGGCGACUCUCUGGUCUGUAACUGACGCUGAGGAGCGGAAGCGUGGGGAGCGAACAGGAUUAGAUACCCCGGUAGUCCCUGUCUCUUAUAC